CUGUUUUGGCUAGGGGGUCAUGGCGACUUACCAAACCAAGGCAAACUCCGAAUACCGCAGAGUACAGCUUGGGAGACAGAGCACCGGGUGCUAACGUCCGGACUCAAGAGGGAAACAACCCAGACCGCCAGCUAAGGUCCCUAAAAUUGGCUAAGUGGGAAACGAAGUGGGAAGGCUAAAACAGUCAGGAUGUUGGCUUAGAAGCAGCCAUCAUUUAAAGAAAGCGUAAUAGCUCACUGAUCGAGUCGUCCUGCGCGGAAGAUGUAACGGGGCUAAGCCAGUUACCGAAGCUGCGGAUGUGCAAUUUAUUGCACGUGGUAGGAGAGCGUUCUGUAAGCCUGUGAAGGUGUCUGGUAACGGAUGCUGGAGGUAUCAGAAGUGCGAAUGCUGACAUGAGUAGCGUUAAAAGGGGUGAAAAGCCCCUUCGCCGUAAGCGCAAGGUUUCCUACGCAACGUUCAUCGGCGUAGGGUGAGUCGGCCCCUAAGGCGAGGCAGAGAUGCGUAGCUGAUGGGAAACAGGUCAAUAUUCCUGUACCGAUCAAUAGUGCGAUGUGGGGACGGAGAAGGUUAGCUCAGCCACCUGUUGGAAUAGGUGGUUCAAGCGUGUAGUCGUGCCUGGUAGGCAAAUCCGCCGGGCUUAGAUGAGGCGUGAUAACGAGUGUGCUUGCACACGAAGUGAGUGAUACCCUGCUUCCAGGAAAAGCCACUAAGCUUCAGCUAUUGAUUGACCGUACCGCAAACCGACACUGGUGCGCGAGAUGAGUAUUCUAAGGCGCUUGAGAGAACUCUGGAGAAGGAACUCGGCAAAUUGAUACCGUAACUUCGGGAGAAGGUAUGCCCUCGGUAUGUGAAGUUGAACAAACGGAGCAGAAAAGGGUUGCAAAAAAUUGGUGGCUGCAACUGUUUAAUAAAAACACAGCACUCUGCAAACACGAAAGUGGACGUAUAGGGUGUGACGCCUGCCCGGUGCUGGAAGAUUAAAUGAUGGGGUGCAAGCUCUUGAUUGAAGUCCCAGUAAACGGCGGCCGUAACUAUAACGGUCCUAAGGUAGCGAAAUUCCUUGUCGGGUAAGUUCCGACCUGCACGAAUGGCGUAAUGAUGGCCACACUGUCUCCUCCAGAGACUCAGCGAAGUUGAAAUGUUUGUGAUGAUGCAAUCUCCCCGCGGAAAGACGGAAAGACCCCAUGAACCUUUACUGUAGCUUUGUAUUGGACUUUGAACGGAUCUGUGUAGGAUAGGUGGGAGGCUUUGAAGCCAGGACGCUAGUUCUGGUGGAGCCGACGUUGAAAUACCACCCUGGUGCGUUUGAGGUUCUAACCUAGGUCCCUAAUCGGGAUCGGGGACAGUGCAUGGUAGGCAGUUUGACUGGGGCGGUCUCCUCCCAAAGCGUAACGGAGGAGUUCGAAGGUACGCUAGGUACGGUCGGACAUCGUGCUAAUAGUGCAAUGGCAUAAGCGUGCUUAACUGCGAGACUGACAAGUCGAGCAGAUGCGAAAGCAGGACAUAGUGAUCCGGUGGUUCUGUAUGGAAGGGCCAUCGCUCAACGGAUAAAAGGUACUCUGGGGAUAACAGGCUGAUACCGCCCAAGAGUUCAUAUCGACGGCGGUGUUUGGCACCUCGAUGUCGGCUCAUCUCAUCCUGGGGCUGUAGUCGGUCCCAAGGGUAUGGCUGUUCGCCAUUUAAAGAGGUACGUGAGCUGGGUUUAAAACGUCGUGAGACAGUUUUGUCCCUAUCUUCCGUGGGCGCUGCAGAUUUGAGGAAGCCUGCUCCUAGUACGAGAGGACCGGAGUGGACACACCUCUGGUGUACCUGUUGUCACGCCAGUGGCAUCGCAGGGUAGCUACGUGUGGAAGAGAUAACCGCUGAAAGCAUCUAAGCGGGAAACUCGUUUCAAGAUGAGAUCUGCCGGGGCCUUCGAGCUCCCUGAAGGGUCGUUGUAGACCACGACGUUGAUAGGCUGGGUGUGGAAGCGCAGUAAUGCGUUAAGCUAACCAGUACUAAUUGCCCGUGCGGCUUGACCCUAUAACUUUG
Molecule: ribosomal RNA, 2031 nt
Filed under: Salmonella enterica subsp. enterica serovar Dublin
Lineage: Bacteria; Pseudomonadati; Pseudomonadota; Gammaproteobacteria; Enterobacterales; Enterobacteriaceae
Description: partial 23S ribosomal RNA
Rfam family: Bacterial large subunit ribosomal RNA
Source: RNAcentral